CGUUAGCGCGUGAAGUUGCUCGCGCGAUCUGUGUAGCUAACUCGCCAUUUUGGACUCCUUCUUGCUGCGUUAAUAAUACACGGGCUGCGAGCGUCUAUUCAAUUUCUUCGUUUUUUUCGCAGCGUUUGUUCAUCGCGGUGAUCCCUCGCAUAAGACAGGUUGUGUGAGUUAAUGAACGGUGACGACGCGAGAGAAGAAGUAGGAGACCCAGGAAGUAUCGGUCAGCAAAAAGAUGGACAGGUUGUGCGAGCCAGUUAAUAUAAUAGUAACGGAGUGACGAGAAAGGAGAAAUAGGAAGAGAAGAUUUGAGCGGCAUUGACCGACAGCGUAAACAGGUUGAAUGAGCGAGUUAGAAUGGCAAUGGGAAGACGAAAGAGGAGGAGGAGGAGAAGCCUGGAAAGUAUCAAGCGACAGC
Acromyrmex echinatior (Panamanian leafcutter ant) is the source of this 415-nucleotide long non-coding RNA. The record is from RefSeq and is a predicted model, not a curated record. Lineage: Eukaryota; Metazoa; Arthropoda; Insecta; Hymenoptera; Formicidae.